RNAcentral lists this ribosomal RNA (484 nucleotides) under uncultured bacterium. RNAcentral describes it as "partial 16S ribosomal RNA". It matches the Rfam family "Bacterial small subunit ribosomal RNA", at positions 30 to 507 of the family's 1533-position model. The record is from RNAcentral.
AUUGAACGCUGGCGGCAGGCCUAACACAUGCAAGUCGAGCGGAUGAAGGGAGCUUGCUCCUGGAUUCAGCGGCGGACGGGUGAGUAAUGCCUAGGAAUCUGCCUGGUAGUGGGGGAUAACGUCCUGAAACGGGCGCUAAUACCGCAUACGUCCUGAGGGAGAAAGUGGGGGAUCUUCGGACCUCACGCUAUCAGAUGAGCCUAGGUCGGAUUAGCUAGUUGGUGGGGUAAAGGCCUACCAAGGCGACGAUCCGUAACUGGUCUGAGAGGAUGAUCAGUCACACUGGAACUGAGACACGGUCCAGACUCCUACGGGAGGCAGCAGUGGGGAAUAUUGGACAAUGGGCGAAAGCAUGAUCCAGCCAUGCCGCGUGUGUGAAGAAGGUCUUCGGAUUGUAAAGCACUUUAAGUUGGGAGGAAGGGCAGUAAGUUAAUACCUUGCUGUUUUGACGUUACCAACAGAAUAAGCACCGGCUAACUUCGUG